Molecule: transfer RNA, 61 nt
Filed under: Myrrophis chinensis (Chinese water snake)
Lineage: Eukaryota; Metazoa; Chordata; Lepidosauria; Squamata; Homalopsidae
Description: tRNA-Phe
Source: RNAcentral
GUUAUUAUAGCUUAUAAAAAGCAUAGUGCUGAAAACACUAAGACGGGACCACCUGAUAACA